GCGGCGGACGGCUGAGUAACGCGUAGGAACGUACCCCAAAGUGAGGGAUAAGCACCGGAAACGGUGUCUAAUACCGCAUGUGGUCUUCGGAUUAAAGCUUCGGCGCUUUGGGAGCGGCCUGCGUAUGAUUAGUUUGUUGGUGAGGUAAUGGCUCACCAAGGCUUCGAUCAUUAGCUGGUCUGAGAGGAUGAUCAGCCAGACUGGGACUGAGAACGGCCCAGACUCCUACGGGGGCAGCAGUAGGAAUUUCCACAAUGGACGAAAGUCUGAUGGAGCAACGCCGCGUGCAGGAUGAAGGCUUUCGGGUCGUAAACUGCUUUUAUAUGUGACGAUUUUGACGGUAGCAUAUGAAUAAGGAUCGGCUAACUCCGUG
RNAcentral lists this ribosomal RNA (373 nucleotides) under uncultured bacterium. RNAcentral's name for it is "bacterial SSU rRNA". It matches the Rfam family "Bacterial small subunit ribosomal RNA", at positions 95 to 507 of the family's 1533-position model. The record is from RNAcentral.